Molecule: ribosomal RNA, 450 nt
Filed under: uncultured bacterium
Lineage: Bacteria
Description: bacterial SSU rRNA
Rfam family: Bacterial small subunit ribosomal RNA
Source: RNAcentral
UCAAGAAACUUCCACAAUGGGCGAAAGCCUGAUGGAGCGACGUCGCGUGAUGGACGAAGUGCUUCGGCACGUAAACAUCUUUUAUGUGGGAUGAAAUUAUUGACAGUACCACAUGAAUAAGGGGCUCCUAACUCUGUGCCAGCAGGAGCGGUAAUACGUAGGGACCAAGCGUUGUUCGGAUUUACUGGGCGUAAAGGGCGCGUAGGCGGCAAUUCAAGUCAUCUGUGAAAUCUCCGGGCUUAACUCGGAACGGUCAGAUGAUACUGCUUUGCUAGAGUGCAGAAGGGGCAAUCGGAAUUCUUGGUGUAGCGGUGAAAUGCGUAGAUAUCAAGAGGAACACCUGAGGUGAAGACGGGUUGCUGGGCUGACACUGACGCUGAGGCACGAAAGUGUGGGGAUCAAACAGGAUUAGAUACCCUCGUAGUCCCUGAGCGGGCUGGCAAGGCGCAU